AAAAACAAAAAAAAUCUUUUUCAUUUCAACUUGAACUUGCAGCUGACUGAAUCAUAGGUUGGGACAUUGAUAACAUCUCCGUAUGAUGCCAUUGUGAGAGGGGAAGAAAUCAGCUUUUGCGCAAUUUUAGUAAUAUCUUGCAAUGUAAUUGAAUCUACAAUCUUCAAGAAAUGCUCCAAAGGUUUCCUCUCGCCAUAUGUCAAAAUCUGUCUACCUAUAUCUUCUGAAGCAAUCAUUCUAGAUUCCAAAUUCAUCAAAAUAGCAGACCUUGUUGACUGUUUUGCACGAGCUAGCUGCACUGGGUCAACUGCACCCGGGGAAGCAACUGCAAUUAGCUCAUUAGCUGCUAAAUCUAUGGCUUUUGAUGCAAAAUCAGAACCAGUGGUAGCUUGGAUACCAAAUAUGCCAGUACGAUC
RNAcentral lists this unclassified non-coding RNA (416 nucleotides) under Hevea brasiliensis (rubber tree). The record is from RNAcentral. Lineage: Eukaryota; Viridiplantae; Streptophyta; Magnoliopsida; Malpighiales; Euphorbiaceae.